Molecule: ribosomal RNA, 1441 nt
Filed under: metagenome
Description: bacterial LSU rRNA
Rfam family: Bacterial large subunit ribosomal RNA
Source: RNAcentral
GUCCCGGGGAAAGGUUGUAGGCAGAUUGCUCAGGUAAAUCCGGGUGGUCGUUAAUGCCGAGAGCCGAGACCACUGCAGCUUGUCUGCGGGAAGUUGCUGGUGCCAUGCUUCCAGGAAAAGCCUCUAAGCUUCAGGUGAUGUGUGUCCGUACCCGAAACCGACACAGGUGGUCAGGGUGAGAAACCUAAGGCGCUUGAGAGAACUCGGCUGAAGGAACUAGGCAAAAUGGCACCGUAACUUCGGGAGAAGGUGCGCUGCUGGGUGUGAAGGGUUUACCCCGUAAGCACUUGGUAGUCUCAGUGAAAAGGCCGCCGCGACUGUUUAUUAAAAACACAGCACUCUGCAAACACGAAAGUGGACGUAUAGGGUGUGACGCCUGCCCGGUGCCGGAAGGUUAAUUGAUGGGGUUAGCGCAAGCGAAGCUCUUGAUCGAAGCCCCGGUAAACGGCGGCCGUAACAAUAACGGUCCUAAGGUAGCGAAAUUCCUUGUCGGGUAAGUUCCGACCUGCACGAAUGGCGUAACGAUGGCGGCACUGUCUCCAGCCGAGACUCAGUGAAAUUGAAUUCGCCGUGAAGAUGCGGUGUACCCACUGCAAGACGGAAAGACCCCGUGAACCUUUACUAUAGCUUCACAUUGGACUUUGAACCUGCUUGUGUAGGAUAGGUGGGAGACGUUGAAACCUGGACGCUAGUUCGGGUGGAGUCGACCUUGAAAUACCACCCUGGCAUGUUCGAGGUUCUAACCUGAGUCCGUAAUCCGGAUUGGGGACAAUGUGUGGUGGGUAGUUUGACUGGGGCGGUCUCCUCCCAAAGAGUAACGGAGGAGCACGAAGGUACGCUCAGCGCGGUCGGAAAUCGCGCACAGUGUGUAAUGGCAAAAGCGUGCUUGACUGCGAGACCAACAAGUCGAGCAGGUGCGAAAGCAGGUCAUAGUGAUCCGGUGGUUCUGUAUGGAAGGGCCAUCGCUCAACGGAUAAAAGGUACUCCGGGGAUAACAGGCUGAUACCGCCCAAGAGUUCAUAUCGACGGCGGUGUUUGGCACCUCGAUGUCGGCUCAUCACAUCCUGGGGCUGAAGCCGGUCCCAAGGGUAUGGCUGUUCGCCAUUUAAAGUGGUACGCGAGCUGGGUUUAGAACGUCGUGAGACAGUUCGGUCCCUAUCUGCAGUGGGCGUUGGAGAUUUGAGAAGAGUUGCUCCUAGUACGAGAGGACCGGAGUGAACGAACCUCUGGUGUUCCGGUUGUCACGCCAGUGGCAUUGCCGGGUAGCUACGUUCGGACGGGAUAACCGCUGAAAGCAUCUAAGCGGGAAGCCCCCUUCAAGAUGAGAUCUCCCUGGAGCCUAGAGCUCCCUAAAGGGCCCUUGAAGACUACAAGGUUGAUAGGCGGGAUGUGUAAGCGCGGCGACGCGUUCAGCUUACCCGUACUAAUUACCCGUGAGGCU